RNAcentral lists this ribosomal RNA (390 nucleotides) under uncultured bacterium. RNAcentral's name for it is "bacterial SSU rRNA". It matches the Rfam family "Bacterial small subunit ribosomal RNA", at positions 28 to 416 of the family's 1533-position model. The record is from RNAcentral.
GACGAACGCUGGCGGCGUGCUUAACACAUGCAAGUCGAGCGGUAAGGCCCUUUCGGGGGUACACGAGCGGCGAACGGGUGAGUAACACGUGGGUGACCUGCCCUCCAGCUCUGGGAUAAGCCCGGGAAACUGGGUCUAAUACUGGAUAUGACUCCAUGACGCAUGUUGUGGGGUGGAAAGCCUUGUGCGGCUGGGGAGUGGGCCCGCGGCCUAUCAGCUUGUUGGUGGGGUGGAUGGCCUACCAAGGCGACGACGGGUAGCCGGCCUGAGAGGGCGACCGGCCACACUGGGACUGAGACACGGCCCAGACUCCUACGGGAGGCAGCAGUGGGGAAUCUUCCGCAAUGGACGAAAGUCUGACGGAGCAACGCCGCGUGAGCGAAGAAGGCC